UAAAACUUUCAACAACGGAUCUCUUGGUUCUGGCAUCGAUGAAGAACGCAGCGAAAUGCGAUAAGUAAUGUGAAUUGCAGAAUUCAGUGAAUCAUCGAAUCUUUGAACGCACAUUGCGCCCUCUGGUAUUCCAGAGGGCAUGCCUGUUCGAGCGUCAUU
RNAcentral lists this ribosomal RNA (159 nucleotides) under Leucostoma cinctum. Its description in RNAcentral is "5.8S ribosomal RNA". It matches the Rfam family "5.8S ribosomal RNA". Rfam says of the family: 5.8S ribosomal RNA (5.8S rRNA) is a component of the large subunit of the eukaryotic ribosome. It is transcribed by RNA polymerase I as part of the 45S precursor that also contains 18S and 28S rRNA. The record is from RNAcentral. Lineage: Eukaryota; Fungi; Ascomycota; Sordariomycetes; Diaporthales; Cytosporaceae. RNAcentral also lists the same sequence under 15 other names.